RNAcentral lists this ribosomal RNA (433 nucleotides) under uncultured bacterium. RNAcentral's name for it is "partial 16S ribosomal RNA". It matches the Rfam family "Bacterial small subunit ribosomal RNA", at positions 29 to 507 of the family's 1533-position model. The record is from RNAcentral.
AACGAACGCUGGCGGCAUGCCUAACUCAUGCCAGUCGAACGAGACCUUCGGGUCUAGUGGCGCACGGGUGCGUAACGCGUGGGAACCUGCCCUUAGGUUCGGAAUAACUCCCCGAAAGGGGUGCUAAUACCGGAUAAUGUCUUCGGACCAAAGAUUUAUCGCCUUUGGAUGGGCCCGCGUUGGAUUAGCUAGUUGGUAGGGUAAAAGCCUACCAAGGCGACGAUCCAUAGCUGGUCUGAGAGGAUGAUCAGCCACACUGGGACUGAGACACGGCCCAGACUCCUACGGGAGGCAGCAGUGGGGAAUAUUGGACAAUGGGCGAAAGCCUGAUCCAGCAAUGCCGCGUGAGUGAUGAAGGCCUUAGGGUUGUAAAGCUCUUUUACCCGGGAUGAUAAUGACAGUACCGGGAGAAUAAGCGCCGGCUAACUCCGUG